This 301-nucleotide ribosomal RNA is filed under the name uncultured bacterium. Its description in RNAcentral is "partial 16S ribosomal RNA". It matches the Rfam family "Bacterial small subunit ribosomal RNA", at positions 509 to 809 of the family's 1533-position model. The record is from RNAcentral.
CAGUCGCCGCGGGAAAACGAAGGGGGCUAGCGUUGUUCGGAUUUACUGGGCGUAAAGCGCACGUAGGCGGACUUUUAAGUCAGGGGUGAAAUCCCGGGGCUCAACCCCGGAACUGCCUUUGAUACUGGAAGUCUUGAGUAUGGUAGAGGUGAGUGGAAUUCCGAGUGUAGAGGUGAAAUUCGUAGAUAUUCGGAGGAACACCAGUGGCGAAGGCGGCUCACUGGACCAUUACUGACGCUGAGGUGCGAAAGCGUGGGGAGCAAACAGGAUUAGAUACCCCGGUAGUCCCUGUCUCUUAUAA